RNAcentral lists this ribosomal RNA (463 nucleotides) under uncultured Bacillota bacterium. RNAcentral's name for it is "bacterial SSU rRNA". It matches the Rfam family "Bacterial small subunit ribosomal RNA", at positions 924 to 1374 of the family's 1533-position model. The record is from RNAcentral. Lineage: Bacteria; Bacillati; Bacillota.
CCCGGACACAAGCGGUGAUUGAUGUGGUUUAAUUCGAAGCAACGCGAAGAACCUUACCAGGUCUUGACAUCCUUUUGAAUGGUCUAGAGAUAGAUCAGGCCUUCGGGACAGAAGAGACAGGUGGUGCAUGGUUGUCGUCAGCUCGUGUCGUGAGAUGUUGGGUUAAGUCCCGCAACGAGCGCAACCCUUAUCAUUAGUUGCUAACAUUCAGUUGAGAACUCUAAUGAGACUGCCAGUGAUAAACUGGAGGAAGGUGGGGAUGACGUCAAAUCAUCAUGCCCCUUAUGACCUGGGCUACACACGUGCUACAAUGGCCGGUACAAAGAGUUGCGAAACUGUGAAGUUAAGCUAAUCUCAUAAAGCCGGUCUCAGUUCGGAUUGUAGUCUGCAACUCGACUACAUGAAGUCGGAAUCGCUAGUAAUCGCGAAUCAGAAUGUCGCGGUGAAUACGUUCUCAAGUCUU